UUCUCCGCUACGUCCCCUCGCGACUAAUGAAAAUCUUUAUUUACUACCUAGCAAUAAAAACUUUCAUUAGCCGCGCGAAUUGUCGUAACUAGAGAGACUAAAUAACAAUCACCACAUUAAAACAUAACGACUAAUAUUAAAAAUAGCACUUUCUAGUAGAAAAGGGGCCAACAGGCCCCUUUCC
Molecule: small RNA, 184 nt
Filed under: Proteus vulgaris
Lineage: Bacteria; Pseudomonadati; Pseudomonadota; Gammaproteobacteria; Enterobacterales; Morganellaceae
Description: SraG
Rfam family: SraG RNA
About the family: This RNA was discovered in E. coli during a large scale screen. Evidence was found for specific cleavage of this RNA.
Source: RNAcentral